RNAcentral lists this ribosomal RNA (494 nucleotides) under uncultured bacterium. RNAcentral describes it as "partial 16S ribosomal RNA". It matches the Rfam family "Bacterial small subunit ribosomal RNA", at positions 28 to 507 of the family's 1533-position model. The record is from RNAcentral.
GACGAACGCUGGCGGCGUGCUUGACACAUGCAAGUCGAACGGAAAGGCCUGCUUUCCCUUGUGGAUUGCGGGUACUCGAGUGGCGAACGGGUGAGUAACACGUGAGUGAUCUGCCCCCAACUUGGGUAUAAGCCUGGGAAACUGGGUCUAAUUCCCGAUAGGACUGCAGGGUGGUGCCUGUGGUGGAAAACGAUUUUCUAGUGGUUGGGGAUGAGCUCGCGGCCUAUCAGCUUGUUGGUGGGGCAAUGGCCUACCAAGGCGGCGACGGGUAGCCGGCCUGGGAGGGUGGACGGCCACAGUGGGACUGAGAUACGGCCCAGACUCCUACGGGAGGCAGCAGUGGGGAAUAGUGCACAAUGGGCGGAAGCCUGAUGCAGCGACGCCGCGUGGGGGAUGACGGCCUUCGGGUUGUAAACUCCUUUCGACCGCGAGGAAGCCACCUGGUUGGAAGGGUGGUGACGGUAGUGGUAGAAGAAGCACCGGCUAACUACGUG